Molecule: ribosomal RNA, 433 nt
Filed under: uncultured bacterium
Lineage: Bacteria
Description: partial 16S ribosomal RNA
Rfam family: Bacterial small subunit ribosomal RNA
Source: RNAcentral
AACGAACGCUGGCGGCAGGCCUAACACAUGCAAGUCGAGCGGACCCUUCGGGGUUAGCGGCGGACGGGUGAGUAACGCGUGGGAAUAUGCCCUUCUCUACGGAAUAGUCCUGGGAAACUGGGGGUAAUACCGUAUACGCCCUUUGUGGGAAAGAUUUAUCGGGGAAGGAUUAGCCCGCGUUGGAUUAGGUAGUUGGUGGGGUAAUGGCCUACCAAGCCGACGAUCCAUAGCUGGUUUGAGAGGAUGAUCAGCCACACUGGGACUGAGCAACGGCCCAGACUCCUACGGGAGGCAGCAGUGGGGAAUCUUAGACAAUGGGGGCAACCCUGAUCGAGCCAGGCCGCGUGAGUGAUGAAGGCCUUAGGGUUGUAAAGCUCUUUAAGCUGGGAAGAUAAUGACGGUACCAGCAGAAGAAGCCCCGGCUAACUCCGUG